This 264-nucleotide ribosomal RNA is filed under the name uncultured Lactobacillus sp. RNAcentral's name for it is "partial 16S ribosomal RNA". It matches the Rfam family "Bacterial small subunit ribosomal RNA", at positions 82 to 339 of the family's 1533-position model. Lineage: Bacteria; Bacillati; Bacillota; Bacilli; Lactobacillales; Lactobacillaceae. The record is from RNAcentral.
AACAAUGGAGCGAGUGGCGAACUGGUGAGUAACACGUGGGGAAUCUGCCCAGAAGCAGGGGAUAACACUUGGAAACAGGUGCUAAUACCGUAUAACAACAAAAUCCGCAUGGAUUUUGUUUGAAAGGUGGCUUCGGCUAUCACUUCUGGAUGAUCCCGCGGCGUAUUAGUUAGUUGGUAAGGUAAUGGCUUACCAAGGCGAUGAUGCAUAGCCGAGUUGAGAGACUGAUCGGCCACAAUGGGACUGAGACACGGCCCAUACUCC